This 370-nucleotide ribosomal RNA is filed under the name uncultured bacterium. RNAcentral's name for it is "bacterial SSU rRNA". It matches the Rfam family "Bacterial small subunit ribosomal RNA", at positions 8 to 352 of the family's 1533-position model. The record is from RNAcentral.
AGAGUUUGAUCAUGGCUCAGAACGAACGCUGGCGGCGUGCCUGACACAUGCAAGUCGAACGAGACCAUAAUAAUUGGCCCUUCGGGAGAAGGAAUAAAUGGAAGACGGCCGAGGGAGGAGUCACCCGUGCGGGAGACGCCCCUCUCGGGAGAAAACAAUUCCGCGAACGCGGAAUAAUCAGGGGCAAAUACUCUGGGGCGUAAGCCUUUAGAGAGCAAAGCUUUCGCGAGCAAGAGGACGAGCUCUGGAGGCAAUAACUUGCGGCCUAUUAGCUAGGGCGUACCAAGGAUGGGCAUAGGGAGGGCGGCUUGAGAGGCCGGCUUGAAAGGUGGGAACGGAAACCUGGGCACAGACUCCUACGGGAGGACUC